Long non-coding RNA from Grus americana (Whooping crane), 252 nucleotides. RefSeq lists it as uncharacterized. The transcript has 3 exons. The record is from RefSeq and is a predicted model, not a curated record. NCBI's taxonomy places the organism in Eukaryota, Metazoa, Chordata, Aves, Gruiformes, Gruidae.
UCUGAAUCCGCACAUCCUCACGAGUGAAUAUUCCCCACUUGCAUUUUUCUCAAGCCAUUACUGAUUGUCACCAUAUGGAUCUAAGCUUGGAGAAGAAAGGAAGGAAAGGUCAAGAGAAGAGAGCAGGGAGAGCUGCAGACAGCAUGAAGUGUGGUGUUCUUGUCUCCUCAAAGCCAGCAGGAAGUAGCCACAUUGCUGUGAAAUACAAUCAAGUCCUUUUUACUCGCUGACUUCUGCUUUUGGGGACUGAUU